Molecule: non-coding RNA, 334 nt
Organism: Paramuricea clavata
Lineage: Eukaryota; Metazoa; Cnidaria; Anthozoa; Malacalcyonacea; Plexauridae
Source: the annotation of a GenBank genome assembly
UGCUGAUUAUAGUACUUCGACCUCUUAAUAUGGCAACUAUACCAUAUACCCUCUGCAAUGAGGGUAAGUGAACUUAUCUCUUGUAGAGAUCCGGUUGCCAAUAGCGGUGUUGAACACGCCUUUAUUCUCUCAGUAUGCUGAAUUUCAAAAUCACUCUGCAAACAAAAAAUGAGAAUAUAUUCUAUAUGCAUGCAACAUUAAGGAUCUUACAAGGAAACUUAACAUCACUACCAAAUAUAUCCAGGUAGCCUAUGUAUGUGCAUGCAUGUUGCAACUGUACUGCACAACAACCAGCACGCCCUACUUGUUUUUUUUUAAAGGGGAAGUCAAGUCC